UAAAGAUUCAUCGGCUGCGGAUGGCCAUGCGGCGCAUUAGCUAGUCGGCGGGGUAACGGCCCACCGAGGCGACGAUGCGUAGGGGUUCUGAGAGGAAGGUCCCCCACACUGGUACUGAGACACGGACCAGACUCCUACGGGAGGCAGCAGUGAGGAAUAUUGGUCAAUGGCCGGGAGGCUGAACCAGCCAAGUCGCGUGAGGGAAGACGGCCCUACGGGUUGUAAACCUCUUUUGUCAGGGAGCAAGAGGCGGGUCGAGACCUGCUGUGAGAGUACCUGAAGAAAAAGCAUCGGCUAACUCCGUGCCAGCAGCCGCGGUAAUACGGAGGAUGCGAGCGUUAUCCGGAUUUAUUGGGUUUAAAGGGUGCGCAGGCGGAGGCACAAGUCAGCGGUAAAAUCGCGGGGCUCAACCCCGCUCCGCCGUUGAAACUGUGUCCCUUGAGUGCGCGAAGGGUAGGCGGAAUGCGUGGUGUAGCGGUGAAAUGCAUAGAUAUCACGCAGAACUCCGAUCGCGAAGGCAGCCUACCGGCGCGCAACUGACGCUCAUGCACGAAAGCGUGGGUAUCGAACAGGAUUAGAUACCCUGGUAGUCCACGCAGUAAACGAUGAAUGCUA
Molecule: ribosomal RNA, 615 nt
Filed under: uncultured bacterium
Lineage: Bacteria
Description: bacterial SSU rRNA
Rfam family: Bacterial small subunit ribosomal RNA
Source: RNAcentral